CAGUCGCCGCGGUAAUACGUAGGGUGCGAGCGUUGUCCGGAAUUAUUGGGCGUAAAGAGCUUGUAGGCGGUCUGUCGCGUCUGCUGUGAAAACCCGAGGCUCAACCUCGGGCCUGCAGUGGGUACGGGCAGACUAGAGUGCGGUAGGGGAGAACGGAACUCCUGGUGUAGCGGUGGAAUGCGCAGAUAUCAGGAAGAACACCGAUGGCGAAGGCAGUUCUCUGGGCCGUAACUGACGCUGAGAAGCGAAAGCGUGGGGAGCGAACAGGAUUAGAUACCCGAGUAGUCCCUGUCUCUUAUAC
RNAcentral lists this ribosomal RNA (301 nucleotides) under uncultured bacterium. RNAcentral describes it as "partial 16S ribosomal RNA". It matches the Rfam family "Bacterial small subunit ribosomal RNA", at positions 509 to 807 of the family's 1533-position model. The record is from RNAcentral.